UUUGAAUUUAACUCGUUUCAGCAGUACUCCCUACUGGAAAAAUACCCAAUAGAGUACCAAAUUCUUUUACGCCUCCUUCUCUUUCAAUUAAUGGCCUCAAGAUUUCCAUUGGAAUGUUAACAAAAAUUUUCGCAAGUGUUCUUAGCAGUUUUUCUAACAAUACAUACGACUGCAGAAUUAAUAGUCUGUCCAAUUCUUAAUAUGUUCGGAUGCGUCGACAAGCUUGCAACUAUGGUUUAAUCCAAUUUUGACGAUGCUUCCUUUUAAGAUUAAGUUCUUGCUCCUCUCUAAGCAAGUUCCUUCCUUGCGCUCUUCCUUGUCUUUCUCUCAAUUGAUUUAUUUUCCUCGAUGC
RNAcentral lists this long non-coding RNA (352 nucleotides) under Physcomitrium patens. RNAcentral's name for it is "long non-coding RNA (PPAT_LNC012449)". The record is from RNAcentral. Lineage: Eukaryota; Viridiplantae; Streptophyta; Bryopsida; Funariales; Funariaceae.